ACGAACGCUGGCGGCGUGCUUAACACAUGCAAGUCGAACGGUGAAGGGGUCUGCUUUUGUGGGCCCUGGAUGAGUGGCGAACGGGUGAGUAACACGUGAGUAACCUGCCCCCUUCUUCUGGAUAACCGCAUGAAAGUGUGGCUAAUACGGGAUAUUCUGGGUCUGUCGCAUGAUGGGUCUGGGAAAGAUUGCGCCUUUGUGUGUUUUUGGUGGUGGAUGGGCUCGCGGCCUAUCAGCUUGUUGGUGGGGUGAUGGCCUACCAAGGCGGUGACGGGUAGCCGGCCUGAGAGGGUGGACGGUCACACUGGGACUGAGACACGGCCCAGACUCCUACGGGAGGCAGCAGUGGGGAAUAUUGCACAAUGGGCGCAAGCCUGAUGCAGCGACGCCGCGUGAGGGAUGGAGGCCUUCGGGUUGUAAACCUCUUUCGCCAGUGAAGCAGGCCUGCUCCUUGUGGGUGGGUUGACGGUAGCUGGAUAAGAAGCGCCGGCUAACUACGUG
This 501-nucleotide ribosomal RNA is filed under the name uncultured bacterium. Its description in RNAcentral is "partial 16S ribosomal RNA". It matches the Rfam family "Bacterial small subunit ribosomal RNA", at positions 29 to 507 of the family's 1533-position model. The record is from RNAcentral.